CUGGCCCAUGUGAACAUGAGCUCAUCUAUGUAGAUCACCUCCACCCACAAAGCACUCCCUGACUGCAAUAUCCAGGUAAUUGCUUUCUCCCUCUGCCAUGCUUUCCAAAUGUAGAGGUAACACUCAACACAUGCCACUGUAACAACUUGAACUUCAGCUCUUAUGGCAUUCUGAAGAGCUGUAGUUUAACUUCCACUUCCUGGAAUUUUUUUUAACUUUUUUGUAACAUUGUUUAUGAAAAAAAAAAAAAGCUCUCAGUGUUGAUUUGUGAGUCUGAGCUCCCCUAGGAAUAGGCUGACCUCCAACAACUUCUCAUUGCACCCCCAGUAGGAGCUUGAAUAAUGACGGAGUGACAAAGUGUCCCAUUCAGUUAUUAUUCAACUAUAUUAAAUUGCUAAAGUUGGUAAUUGGAGCAUAUCUUAUUACAAAGGCAAAAGUUCAACAUUUUUCCCCAGGCAUAAUAGGCAUGCACACUUGAAAACUUCCAGUCUGGUAAGGAAUAAGAUGUCAGGGCAUAGAGCAUGCAACAAAUUAAACAGAGAGAGAUAUAUUAACCAAACUCAGGCAAAAUUACCAAGCAUUACCUCGAAGAUAUUGACCAAUCUCAAGUCCUUGUAACAAAGGUGGGAGAAAGUAAGGAGAGUGUUGGAAAUAUAUCAGUAUUCACAAACUCUACUGUACUCACACAAUUGAAAAACUGUCAUUUGAGAUAUACUAGGGACUGACACUGAGAUGGUUAAAGCUAGUUGACAGCUUAGUGUUCAUUCAUUUUGAUUGGUUGGUGCCUAUCCACUAUCAAUCAUUAAGUAUUUUGAAACCCCACCUGUUCAUAUUAAGGCCCAUUUGAAUCCAUGGUGACAGGCCGUUUACCAGAAACACCAUUUGGGGUAUGGCUGAAAGUUCCAAUUGUCUCUAAGAUGGUCCUGCAGCAGAAUAGUUUUACUGAGACAAUAGGAGCUUUGAGUACCUGUUCGGAUGUGAUCAUCCCAAGCUGCUGCUUCCAGGAACAGGAAAUGAGUAAGAGACAAUUAUUUGGAUCCAGAUAUUCUACUUGCUGA
RNAcentral lists this long non-coding RNA (1058 nucleotides) under Oryctolagus cuniculus (rabbit). RNAcentral's name for it is "lncRNA (ENSOCUG00000038418.1)". The record is from RNAcentral. Lineage: Eukaryota; Metazoa; Chordata; Mammalia; Lagomorpha; Leporidae.